Molecule: non-coding RNA, 402 nt
Organism: Nanorana parkeri
Lineage: Eukaryota; Metazoa; Chordata; Amphibia; Anura; Dicroglossidae
Source: the annotation of a RefSeq genome assembly
AUGACUCAGACUCCGGAAUAUAUCUCAGUGUCUCCAGGAGAGAAUGUGGUGAUACAUUGUAAAUCGAGUGCUACUGUUACUGGUGGCUCUGGUACAAGUUAUGUACACUGGUAUCAGAAGAAACAAGAUCAUCCCCCAACACUUCUCAUCUAUGAGGCAAUCAAUCGUCAGUCUGGAGUCCCGGAGAGGUUCAGCGGCAGUAGAUCGGGAUCUCCAUACAAUGAUUUCACUCUGACAAUCAGUGGAGCUCUGGCAGAAGAUGAAGCACAUUAUUACUGUCAGCAGGGUUGGGAAGCACCACACACAGUGAUACAGAGCCGUACAAAAACCUCCUUCCUCUUUUAUAUUUUGCUGUGCAAAUUAAUUUCCCUUUUAUAUCACAUUCAGAAAACAGUGUACUGA